AGUCGAGAAUCUUCGGCAAUGGGCGCAAGCCUGACCGAGCGACGCCGCGUGUGGGAUGAAGGCCCUUGGGUUGUAAACCACUGUCAGAGGGGAUGAAAUGCGGGUGGGUUCUCCCAUCCGUUUGACAUAGCCUCAGAGGAAGCACGGGCUAAGUUCGUGCCAGCAGCCGCGGUAAUACGAACUGUGCAAACGUUAUUCGGAAUCACUGGGCUUAAAGGGUGCGUAGGCGGCCAGAUAAGUAGGGUGUGAAAGCCCCCGGCUCAACCGGGGAAUGGCGCUCUAAACUGUCUGGCUGGAGUGAGAUAGGGGUGUGCGGAACUUCCGGUGGAGCGGUGAAAUGUGUUGAUAUCGGAAGGAACGCCGGUGGCGAAAGCGGCACACUGGAUCUCAACUGACGCUGAGGCACGAAAGCCAGGGGAGCAAA
Molecule: ribosomal RNA, 424 nt
Filed under: uncultured Planctomyces sp.
Lineage: Bacteria; Pseudomonadati; Planctomycetota; Planctomycetia; Planctomycetales; Planctomycetaceae
Description: bacterial SSU rRNA
Rfam family: Bacterial small subunit ribosomal RNA
Source: RNAcentral